CCCUACUAUCUGCAGCUCUGCACAGUGGAAAACACAAACACACCAGAAACGCACUGACGUUUUGAUAAAAUUUCCGAAGCAAGCGUGAAUGAGCGUGUUGCUCACAAGCAUACGCCGUGAAAAACAUGAAUCUGCAGGUCUCCUCUCGCUUGAAGAUAUGUGUGAAGAACAGAUAUCAACCCAUGACCAGUAAGUAACAAACUGAUCCUUCGCGUUCAUACAGGACAUGAUGAUUGGGUUUAAUAGCAUGCUAUGCAUGACACCUGCAUCCACUUGUUACGACACUGCAGGCAAAACCUCUCUGAUCCUGCAGCGAGGGAUCCGCAAAUAUCACACAAUAUCAUUUACAAUACUGAUGGGCUACAGUGCGAUUUUCCAAUAUCAGUGAUUUCUGUGAAUGCUACUUUCCAGUAUCUGUUAUUCUUAACUGUGAAUUGUCGCAGUUAAGGAACGAAGGUCGUGUAUCCCUCCACCACUGCGAUUUCUGCGACUUAUAUACCGUAUGAAAAAGUUACAUCUGCCCACACAGAAAAUUGUAACUCAACAAAUCUGUCAUUGGUACCCGAACUACAAUUCAGUCACUCAGUAAAUUGAUAACUCAAAAUAUCAUCGUCAACAGAUCUGGAAAAAUUGCCACUGCGUCUUUAGACCGUUUUCGUCAGACGAGAGACACAGUUCUGACUCUUGAUUACUGGUUGCUGUACGUAUCUAUCCACAUCAAGGCUGUUGAGAGAGACUCGUGAAGAUUCAAGACGGCUCUUAGAGGAUUUGCAGUUUAAAAGUGACAUAAUUGUGAAAUAAGUGUGGAGCUGAGUGAUUAAACUGUGUUUUAUUGAAGUUGUUAUGCGAUUUUAAAGGAAUAAUAAAUGUUAAAUACAGUGAGU
Long non-coding RNA from Schistocerca gregaria, 884 nucleotides. RefSeq lists it as uncharacterized. The transcript has 3 exons. The record is from RefSeq and is a predicted model, not a curated record. NCBI's taxonomy places the organism in Eukaryota, Metazoa, Arthropoda, Insecta, Orthoptera, Acrididae.